This 2904-nucleotide ribosomal RNA is filed under the name Klebsiella variicola. RNAcentral describes it as "23S ribosomal RNA". It matches the Rfam family "Bacterial large subunit ribosomal RNA". Lineage: Bacteria; Pseudomonadati; Pseudomonadota; Gammaproteobacteria; Enterobacterales; Enterobacteriaceae. The record is from RNAcentral.
GGUUAAGCGACUAAGCGUACACGGUGGAUGCCCUGGCAGUCAGAGGCGAUGAAGGACGUGCUAAUCUGCGAAAAGCGUCGGUAAGGUGAUAUGAACCGUUAUAGCCGGCGAUGUCCGAAUGGGGAAACCCAGUGCAAUUCGUUGCACUAUCGUUAACUGAAUACAUAGGUUAACGAGGCGAACCGGGGGAACUGAAACAUCUAAGUACCCCGAGGAAAAGAAAUCAACCGAGAUUCCCCCAGUAGCGGCGAGCGAACGGGGAGCAGCCCAGAGUCUGAAUCAGCUUGUGUGUUAGUGGAACGGUCUGGAAAGUCCGACGGUACAGGGUGAUAGUCCCGUACACCAAAAUGCACAGGUUGUGAACUCGAAGAGUAGGGCGGGACACGUGGUAUCCUGUCUGAAUAUGGGGGGACCAUCCUCCAAGGCUAAAUACUCCUGACUGACCGAUAGUGAACCAGUACCGUGAGGGAAAGGCGAAAAGAACCCCGGCGAGGGGAGUGAAAAAGAACCUGAAACCGUGUACGUACAAGCAGUGGGAGCACCUUCGGGUGUGACUGCGUACCUUUUGUAUAAUGGGUCAGCGACUUAUAUUCUGUAGCAAGGUUAACCGUAUAGGGGAGCCGCAGGGAAACCGAGUCUUAACUGGGCGUUAAGUUGCAGGGUAUAGACCCGAAACCCGGUGAUCUAGCCAUGGGCAGGUUGAAGGUUGGGUAACACUAACUGGAGGACCGAACCGACUAAUGUUGAAAAAUUAGCGGAUGACUUGUGGCUGGGGGUGAAAGGCCAAUCAAACCGGGAGAUAGCUGGUUCUCCCCGAAAGCUAUUUAGGUAGCGCCUCGUGAAUUCAUCUUCGGGGGUAGAGCACUGUUUCGGCUAGGGGGUCAUCCCGACUUACCAACCCGAUGCAAACUACGAAUACCGAAGAAUGUUAUCACGGGAGACACACGGCGGGUGCUAACGUCCGUCGUGAAGAGGGAAACAACCCAGACCGCCAGCUAAGGUCCCAAAGUCAUGGUUAAGUGGGAAACGAUGUGGGAAGGCACAGACAGCCAGGAUGUUGGCUUAGAAGCAGCCAUCAUUUAAAGAAAGCGUAAUAGCUCACUGGUCGAGUCGGCCUGCGCGGAAGAUGUAACGGGGCUAAACCAUGCACCGAAGCUGCGGCAGCGACACUAUGUGUUGUUGGGUAGGGGAGCGUUCUGUAAGCCUGCGAAGGUGGCCUGUGAGGGUUGCUGGAGGUAUCAGAAGUGCGAAUGCUGACAUAAGUAACGAUAAAGCGGGUGAAAAGCCCGCUCGCCGGAAGACCAAGGGUUCCUGUCCAACGUUAAUCGGGGCAGGGUGAGUCGACCCCUAAGGCGAGGCCGAAAGGCGUAGUCGAUGGGAAACAGGUUAAUAUUCCUGUACUUGGUGUUACUGCGAAGGGGGGACGGAGAAGGCUAUGUUAGCCGGGCGACGGUUGUCCCGGUUUAAGCAUGUAGGCGGAGGUUCCAGGUAAAUCCGGUACCUUUUAACGCUGAGGUGUGAUGACGAGGCACUACGGUGCUGAAGUAACAAAUGCCCUGCUUCCAGGAAAAGCCUCUAAGCAUCAGGUAACAUUAAAUCGUACCCCAAACCGACACAGGUGGUCAGGUAGAGAAUACCAAGGCGCUUGAGAGAACUCGGGUGAAGGAACUAGGCAAAAUGGUGCCGUAACUUCGGGAGAAGGCACGCUGGUGUGUAGGUGAAGUCCCUGCGGACGGAGCUGAGACCAGUCGAAGAUACCAGCUGGCUGCAACUGUUUAUUAAAAACACAGCACUGUGCAAACACGAAAGUGGACGUAUACGGUGUGACGCCUGCCCGGUGCCGGAAGGUUAAUUGAUGGGGUUAUCCGUAAGGAGAAGCUCUUGAUCGAAGCCCCGGUAAACGGCGGCCGUAACUAUAACGGUCCUAAGGUAGCGAAAUUCCUUGUCGGGUAAGUUCCGACCUGCACGAAUGGCGUAAUGAUGGCCAGGCUGUCUCCACCCGAGACUCAGUGAAAUUGAACUCGCUGUGAAGAUGCAGUGUACCCGCGGCAAGACGGAAAGACCCCGUGAACCUUUACUAUAGCUUGACACUGAACAUUGAGCCUUGAUGUGUAGGAUAGGUGGGAGGCUUUGAAGCGUGGACGCCAGUCUGCGUGGAGCCAACCUUGAAAUACCACCCUUUAAUGUUUGAUGUUCUAACGUUGGCCCGUAAUCCGGGUUGCGGACAGUGUCUGGUGGGUAGUUUGACUGGGGCGGUCUCCUCCCAAAGAGUAACGGAGGAGCACGAAGGUUAGCUAAUCCUGGUCGGACAUCAGGAGGUUAGUGCAAUGGCAUAAGCUAGCUUGACUGCGAGCGUGACGGCGCGAGCAGGUGCGAAAGCAGGUCAUAGUGAUCCGGUGGUUCUGAAUGGAAGGGCCAUCGCUCAACGGAUAAAAGGUACUCCGGGGAUAACAGGCUGAUACCGCCCAAGAGUUCAUAUCGACGGCGGUGUUUGGCACCUCGAUGUCGGCUCAUCACAUCCUGGGGCUGAAGUAGGUCCCAAGGGUAUGGCUGUUCGCCAUUUAAAGUGGUACGCGAGCUGGGUUUAGAACGUCGUGAGACAGUUCGGUCCCUAUCUGCCGUGGGCGCUGGAGAAUUGAGGGGGGCUGCUCCUAGUACGAGAGGACCGGAGUGGACGCAUCACUGGUGUUCGGGUUGUCAUGCCAAUGGCACUGCCCGGUAGCUAAAUGCGGAAGAGAUAAGUGCUGAAAGCAUCUAAGCACGAAACUUGCCCCGAGAUGAGUUCUCCCUGAGACUUUAAGUCUCCUGAAGGAACGUUGAAGACGACGACGUUGAUAGGCCGGGUGUGUAAGCGCAGCGAUGCGUUGAGCUAACCGGUACUAAUGAACCGUGAGGCUUAACCUU